RNAcentral lists this ribosomal RNA (407 nucleotides) under uncultured bacterium. Its description in RNAcentral is "partial 16S ribosomal RNA". It matches the Rfam family "Bacterial small subunit ribosomal RNA", at positions 30 to 526 of the family's 1533-position model. The record is from RNAcentral.
AUCGAACGCUGGCGGCAGGCCUAACACAUGCAAGUCGAGCGGAGCGGCGGACGGGCGAGUAAUGCCUAGGAAUCUGCCUGGUAGUGGGGGAUAACGUCCGGAAACGGGCGCUAAUACCGCAUCCUAUCAGCUGAGCCUAGGUCGGACUAGCUAGGUGGUGGGGUGAGGGCCUACCUAGGCGACGAUCCGUAACUGGCCUGAGUGGAUGAUCAGUCACACUGGAACUUGGACACGGUCCAGAGUACUACGGGAGGGAGCAGUGGGGAAGAGUGGGCAAUGGGCGAAAGCCUGGUCCAACCAUGCCGCGUGUGUGAAGAAGGUCUUCGGAUUGUAAAGCACUUUAAGUUGGGAGGCGUUACCAACAGAAUAAGCACCGGCUAACUUCGUGCCAGCAGCCGCGGUAAUAC